GAUGAACGCUAGCGGGAGGCCUAACACAUGCAAGCCGAGCGGUAUUGUUUCUUCGGAAAUGAGAGAGCGGCGUACGGGUGCGGAACACGUGUGCAACCUGCCUUUAUCUGGGGGAUAGCCUUUCGAAAGGAAGAUUAAUACUCCAUAAUAUAUUGAACGGCAUCGUUUAAUAUUGAAAGCUCCGGCGGAUAGAGAUGGGCACGCGCAAGAUUAGCUAGUUGGUGAGGUAACGGCUCACCAAGGCAAUGAUCUUUAGGGGGCCUGAGAGGGUGAUCCCCCACACUGGUACUGAGACACGGACCAGACUCCUACGGGAGGCAGCAGUGAGGAAUAUUGGUCAAUGGGUGCAAGCCUGAACCAGCCAUCCCGCGUGAAGGACGACUGCCCUAUGGGUUGUAAACUUCUUUUGUAUAGGGAUAAACCUUUCCACGUGUGGAAAGCUGAAGGUACUAUACGAAUAAGCACCGGCUAACUCCGUGCCAGCAGCCGCGGUAAUAGUACU
This 502-nucleotide ribosomal RNA is filed under the name uncultured bacterium. RNAcentral describes it as "bacterial SSU rRNA". It matches the Rfam family "Bacterial small subunit ribosomal RNA", at positions 28 to 527 of the family's 1533-position model. The record is from RNAcentral.